CCUAACACAUGCAAGUCGAGCGAGGUAGCAAUACCUAGCGGCAGACGGGUGCGUAACAUGUGGGAACCUGCCUUUUGGUUCGGAACAACACGGGGAAACCUGUGCUAAUACCGGAUAAGUCCUUACGGAGAAAGCUUUAAUGACCAAAAGAUGAGCCCGCAUUUGAUUAGCUAGUUGGUGAGGUAAAGCUCACCAAGGCGAUAAUCAAUAGCUGAUUUGAGGAGGAUGAUCAGCCACACUGGGACUGAGAUACGGCCCAGACUCC
Molecule: ribosomal RNA, 265 nt
Filed under: unidentified marine bacterioplankton
Lineage: Bacteria
Description: partial 16S ribosomal RNA
Rfam family: Bacterial small subunit ribosomal RNA
Source: RNAcentral